GAUGAACGCUGGCGGCGUGCCUAAUACAUGCAAGUCGAGCGAACGGACGAGAAGCUUGCUUCUCUGACGUUAGCGGCGGACGGGUGAGUAACACGUGGAUAACCUACCUAUAAGACUGGGAUAACUUCGGGAAACCGGAGCUAAUACCGGAUAAUAUUUUGAACCGCAUGGUUCAAUAGUGAAAGACGGUCCUGCUGUCACUUAUAGAUGGAUCCGCGCUGCAUUAGCUAGUUGGUAAGGUAACGGCUUACCAAGGCAACGAUGCAUAGCCGACCUGAGAGGGUGAUCGGCCACACUGGAACUGAGACACGGUCCAGACUCCUACGGGAGGCAGCAGUAGGGAAUCUUCCGCAAUGGGCGAAAGCCUGACGGAGCAACGCCGCGUGAGUGAUGAAGGUCUUCGGAUCGUAAAACUCUGUUAUUAGGGAAGAACAUAUGUGUAAGUAACUGUGCACAUCUUGACGGUACCUAAUCAGAAAGCCACGGCUAACUACGUG
This 497-nucleotide ribosomal RNA is filed under the name uncultured bacterium. RNAcentral's name for it is "partial 16S ribosomal RNA". It matches the Rfam family "Bacterial small subunit ribosomal RNA", at positions 28 to 507 of the family's 1533-position model. The record is from RNAcentral.